GGAAGCGUCGCGGGGUUGACAAAGGAGGAGCUGUUAGAAUUUUGGUAUGGUCUAGUGAAUAGUGAGCAAAAGUUCUUGUGGGUGAUGAGGCCAGACUUGAUAAUAGGACGAGAGAAAAAAGAUGAGAUUCCUGUGGAGUUGGAGCAGGGUACAAAGGCAAGGGGCUACAUGGCUGAUUGGGUUCCACAAGAAAAGGUAUUGGCACAUAGAGCAAUUGGCGGUUUCUUGACUCACUCUGGAUGGAAUUCCACAUUGGAGAGUAUAGUUGAAGGAGUGCCGAUGAUUUGUUGGCCGAGAUUUGCUGAUCAGCAAGUGAAUAGUAGAUUCGUUGGUGAGGUUUGGAAGAUGGGACUUGACAUAAAAGAUACAUGUGAUAGAGACAUCAUUGCAAAAUCAAUUAGAGAUUUGAUGGAGAAGAGAAAUGGUGAAUUCUCUCAAAGAACAGAGCACAUGGCCAGUUUGGCAAAAAAAGCUGUCAAUGAAGGUGGAUCGUCAUACAUUAAUCUGGACCGUCUUAUACAGGACAUAAGAUCUAUGAUUCCGCCGCAAAAAACAUACCUGAUUCAGCUGAAACUUGAUUUUUUUUUAGCUGCGAUUAUAUUGUUGCCUAGAAAUUGUAGAUUUAUUCUGCCUAUUAAUCUGAAUAACUCUAGCAACAAAUGUAGCUUCACUUUUACAACUGCAGUCAUUUACAAGUACAUCUCCAGCAAUAAAUAAACCAAACUUUUACGAAUGGGGAGUAAUAGAUAAGAAACUCUAAAUUUUUAUUGUUAUUGGAAUUAUGACCUCCUUAAUUCAGUAAAGGAACACAUACUAACUAAAGUUCUUUAACGUUUGAUAAUUGCGGUAAACAAUUUUGUAAAUACUCCCUCCGUUUCACAAAAAAUGACCUCCUUUCCUUUUAGUCAGUUUCAAAAAAUGACCUCUUUCCUUUUUUGGUAACAUUUUACUUUUUGCUUUCCACGUGGCAUGUUUAAGACCACAAGAUUAAGGGCAAUUUUGUACAUUUGACAUAACUUUAAUUUAGGACCACAAGAUUCAAAAGUCUUAUUUAAUUUCUUAAACUUCGUGCCAAGUCAAACCAGAUCAAUCUUUUUGAAACGGAGGGAGUAAUAAUCAGUUCACAACUUCGUAUUAUUUAUCACAACUUCAAACUACACAACGAUUACACACCUAUGUAAUCUAAGGAAUUCUAAACUCUAAUCCCUUUUUACCCAAGACAAAAGACCCCAGGUUUAAGCCUUCUAAAAGUCUUCCAAGUUGCUCCAACUUGUUAGACUCGUCCUACACUCAACACUCAAUUGCAGUCAAUUACUAUUAACUACAAUCUUACAAUUUUUCUCACAAACUCGUAGCACUCCCAAGUAAAAUACAAAACUCUCUCAAAAACUCUUCGAUAGUGUUUUGAUUAUCUCUCUAUGUAAGUGCGCAAAAUUCUUAGAAGAAAAUCACGCCCUAUUUAUAGACUUGAAUUUCUCAAAACCUUCUUCAACUCAACUUUAUUUACACGGUUUAAACUAUGCUUCCUACUAUGUUUUGGAAUCCUUGAGACUUCGCGUGGACUCCUACUUGAUUGCGAAUUUGUACUCGUUAAAAUUUUCCCCAUUCCAGUCAUAUUAGAUGAAGUUGAAUCACGAUCACACAACUUGUUCUAUAACUUUGUCAGUCUUCAAAACACUAAAUUAUUUGCAACUAACAAAUUCCCCCUUUUUGACGAUGAAAUUUUUAUAUCUCUGUAUUGAACCUGCACUGCAUUGCAUUGAACACUUGAACACACGCACACACAAUCAAUCAUACAUCUUCCCCUUUUGACAUCAGACAAAAACUUAAAAGAAGGAUCUACACAGCCAUGUCAAGCAAUAAUAACACACUAAACCAUAACAAAAAAAAAUACCAAACUUAGUCAUUAGUUACAAAAGAGAUCAAUCAACAAAAACCAUCAUCCACAAAAAGUCAGAAAUGCACACUAAAGAAAAAGGACCCAAAACACACGACAAUGCACAAGUAGGCUGGAAUUAGGCAGGAGGUGGCAUAAAAGAGGAUGAGGAAGGAGAGACUUUGGUUAACAAAUCAAAGAUGUGCUUCAGAUGAGCAGAAUUAGAAGACCUUUCAGUAUCCAAUUCUGCUUGAGUCUUAGCAAGCUCUUCUUUAAGCCUAGAGUUUUCUUCUACCAACCCAACAUUCUCAAGCCGUAACUAAUGUGCAAUUGAUCCAUUGUAGCUGAGUGAGAGACCUUAAGACCAGCAAUUUCCGCACCCAUUGUAGUCAACGAGGCCCUCAGACGUUGCAUAGGUGCAUUUUUCCCUCUAGAGGUAGCAGGUAUAGCAACAUGAUCUACUUCCCCCAAAACAUCUUUGGUAGUCUGCACUUGUCACUCUUUGACUGGAACUUGAAAAUACUCAAAGAUUUCUCCUAGCUAGAAUCCAUACCCAAGCCCAUGGUCCUUUUAUCAUGCACACAAAUCCUAUGAAUGUGAUUAAGAAUUAAUUGUGGCUGAUUAAUUUGAACUUGAGAUAUCAAUAAUUCCAUGAGCGUGAGAUCCAAAUAGUUCGCCUCCAUACGCUUUCGCUUCCUAGGGAGAAUGAUUUUGUGCACUACAUCAAAAAACAACUUAUGUAAAGGAAACAUGACUCAUUUAUCCACCCUAGAGUAAUUCUCUAGCAUAAGAUCAUUCGCAAACCGAUGAGAUAUCUCAAGGGCUGAUGAAAGACCCUCUAAGCGAAACCAGUCUCGUUUGACAUAAUGACACCAACCUUUGUUCGGUACACCCAAUAUUUUUGACAGAACCUCAGCUAUUUAUGUGAACGAUGUACCACCAACCUUACUCGAAAUAGAAGAGACAGACCCAACCACAUUGAUAAAUAAUUCCCUGGUUUCAUUCCUACCCAUCUUACACCUUCGAUUACCCUGGAAAAAAAAUGCAGUCCAACCCUAUGCUUGUAACAUUAUAAGAAAUUCACCCAUUUCAUUUCCCCCAAAAUCUGUAAUAACCCGACCCCGAAUCACACUUCUUUCCUAAAUGACCGUACCCUAGCCUUCGUUUUUCAGAGUAAACUUCAAUAUCACAAUCAGAAUUUUCGUUGUGACCAGAUUCCCUUACUGAGUUUGUCACGACCCAAUGGUACCCCCUAGAUGUAACAAGGCAUACUCAACCCCGAAGGGGUCUCAUACAAGUCCCUUAGCAUAUUAUAACAUAAAUCAAUAGAAAUGAUGCGGAAAUUUUAAAACAUUUUCCAUACAAUCGAAGUCUUUAUAAAAGCAAGCGGAAGUCUUUAACACUUUGUCUCAAACCGUCUAAAAUAACUUGAAUAAAUCUUUGGGACGCAGCCUAUACAUAAGUUCUAACAUAAAAGAAAGACAAUAGAACAUGGUGGCUAUCUCCUAGAACUAUAAGGACUCACCAAGGCUUCAAUCCUUGCUCCUACUAAGAACCUAGCCUUGAGGAUGAAACUCAAUAUCGCCGGACCCUACAUUUGAUAAGAAUGUAGGCAAGAGUAUGCGAUAGUACAAAAUGUACUAAAUAUGGUAGCUAACAUAACAUCAUAAGAGCAUAACAUAAGGGUUAGUCAAUAAGAGACAUAUACCAUAAUCAUAAGAGAUACAUCAUAAGACAUAAACUAUAGGCAUAAGAGAUAACAACAUAAUCAUAAGCAUAAUCUCCAACAUAGACAUAAUGUAAGCAUUAGUCAUCAUAAGGCAUAAUCCAUGAGCAUAGUCAAUACUUAGAUCUUCAUAACAUAAGAGAACCACUUAAUAAGUAACCUCAAGGCAUACUUGUGCAAUGCAUGGAUAAGACCCCAUAAUCUCACCCAUGCUAAGUACCCCCUUUUGGUCAUCAUACAUUGAUCAUCUCUUCAAUCUCAUAUUUAGCUCAUCAUUCAUAGAUAAGGGAAUCUUCACCUUUAGUCAAACAUAUCAUGGAAGACAACUAUAGAAAAAAUCCAAUCUAACAUACAUCAUAUAAGAGAGACACUUCCUAGGUAACCUCCAGUCAUACUUGUGCAAUGCAUGGAUAAGACCCCAUAAUCCCACCCAUACUAAGUACUACUUUAGGCCAUCAUAAUCAUACUUUUUGGUUGGGGACUAGUCCUUUGCAAGCUAUUUUCAUCAUUCAUGGAAAGGUACCACUUUAGUACUCCACAACAAUUCAUUACACAUGAGUGGUUAUAGUUUACCAAUUCAAAGCUACCAAGGAAAAGGACUACCUUAUGCUAGACCAAGCUACCAUGGAAAGCAUACGAUCAUGCAAGCACAAGCUACACAAUGAAUGGUACGAUUUCUCAAUCCAAGCUACCAAUGAUAUGGUGUGGCCUAACCAAGUCAUGCUACCAUGAAAAGCAUUCUAUUGUGUUUAGUUCAAGCUAACCAUUGGAAGGGUACUAUUGCUCAAUCCAAGGCUACCAUGAGAACUCCUAACUCCAGCUACCAAGCAUGGUCUUGUCUUACCAAGUCAAGCUAUUCAUGAAGGGAUCUUAUAUCACAACUUCAAGCUAUUCUAGUCUAACAUACUUGAUUCAUUUUAGGUGAGCAAACUUUCAACCUAGAAUCAUUCUAUGUGAGGAAACCUUUCACAUCACGUUCAUUAUGUGUUCAUGAGAAUAAUCCUUCAAGCAACAUAACAUUUAUAUCAAUUAAGAUAAUUCUAUAGAUAUGGAGAUUUUUACUAGAAAACCGGACUCAACUAGUGUAGAAGUUCUCCAUCUCUGAGAUACAUAAAUGGAACCUGGACUCAACGAGUGUAGAAGGAUCCCAUUUGGAAACCGGACUCAACUAGGGUAGAAGCUUCCAUCCCAUAUUCAAUAUCAUAUUCAUGCAUAAGUGUGUAUGUGAGAACAUCCUUUCAACAACACACAAGUACAAAAUCAUAAUCAUAGACACUUCACUCUCAAAGUGUUCAUAAAGCAUUUACAUUGAUUCUAUAAGAACAUGCAUAAUCUCAUAUACUCAUAAUAUAAGUCAUGUGGGUAAAGUCCUUCCAUAAUAAUGCCAUAUACAAUUCAACAUACAUAUUAGCUUCACUCUCAAAGCCCUAGAAAUCAACCUUCAUAACUACAAGCCUUACUCUCAAGCAAUACUUCUCAUGAUCAUUCUAUAUGUCUAAUUCUCAAGACAUUCUAACCACAUGCUUCAUUCUUUAGUAAUUCUAAUCAUAUAUCUUCAUAUAAGCAUAAAAUCAAGCAUUACUAAUCAUGAUUCAUCAUAUUAGCCUUAAUAUAAUCAAUUCAUGUCUAUAAGCUUUACUCUUAAGCAAUUCAUGUCAAGAUGUUCUAAUCUCAAGCAAUCUAUAAUGUAAUUCAUCAAUCUUAGACGAUCACAUCUAAGCCAUAAAUUUUCCCUUUCAUGGUAUAAAGUUCAACUAUAUCAAAUCACCUUAAAUCUUAGGUUAAUCAAGAAUACAUGUAUAAUCAUACUAAAAACAUGCAAUUCCAUCAUAAACAAACAUAAACAAUCGUAAUCCACUCUAUUGGAUCAUAAUCAACAUAAACCAUAAUAUUGGAAGGAACCCUAACUUGAAUUAGGGAUUUUAUCUUCACAAUUAGCGGAAUUCUAGGGGACUCCAUGGAUGAAUAACUACCAUACCUUUAUUAAAAAGACCUCAAAUCUUGGAACAAUGGAGACUUGACUUGACCUAACUUGAUCCUCCUUCUCUUCUUCUUCUUUUUCUUCUUCUUCACUUUCUAGAAAGAGAAUAUUUGAGAGGGAAUUGGGUUCUUUUUGGUAAGUUGAAAUAAUGACUAGGAUCAAUGAAUUGAGGGGUCUAAAGUCUUUAUAUAGGUGGUCUAAACUAGGGUAAAAUGACACCAGUCACUGCCUUACCCACGAGACCCCGACCAUGGGGCAUGGGUCUAACCAUAGUCCGUCUUGAUUGGGCGUGGUUUGGGGUCUGUGGCACUGUCUUGGGGGCUCUUGACCUACGAAGAUAACCACGUGGUGUGGACCCAUCCACGAGGCAUAGGUCCUGCCCGUGGUUACUACCUCAGGUAGAUUUCAUGGAGGGCUCACCCACACUGCCCACCUAAGGGGCGUGGGUUUCCUCGGGGGUGGCACAUAAACUCCCAAGUCAUGCUAACUUCCCACUCAAGGCUACGGGUGUUAUAAUAUCUCCCUCUUUGGACCAUUCGUCCCCGAAUGACAUUUUAGGCACUUCUUAAGGUCACGACUCUAGACUAGCAACCCAUUAUGCAUGCAACUCAUCUAAAUGCACACAACUAAAGAAGGAAUUUCAUCUCCAAGCUAAACACACUCAAUGCAACACAAAAGAGGUAGGAACUACAUCUAACAACCCAAAAUGCAUGAAAUUAUCAUGACUAGUCAUGUUCAAAGAGGAACUACCAUCUCCAAGCUAUAAGCAUGAUCAACACAAUCUCAUAGAGCCUAUAUGCAAUCUAUACUCAUAACGUACAUUCAAGGAGGAACUCUCAAUUCCUAGCUAAAACAUGUUCGUCAAUUCGUCUCAUGAAGUCUAUAUGCAACUCAUACUAGCAUUACAACAUGAGAAAAAUCAAUAAUGCAAAUUCAUUUUCAUUCUAAACAUAAAUUUUCAUGAACAUGCAUAACAUAAGGAAAUCAUGGAAACACAUAAACAUACAUGACUCCAAACAUAAUACAAACCAAGAGAAACUUAUCAUCUCAAGAGUUCAUACAGACCUACAAAACGGGGACUAAACUUCCCAACUCAUUUCACCUUUCUAGGGUGAGAAAUUCAACUAAACCCAACUCAUAAACAUUAGGAACACUCAACGACUUUUAUAACCAAGCACAUCAUCUCCCCCUUGGGAGCAAGCCUAAACGGACUUUCUAAGCACCAUUUAUUUCAAUUCAACUAAGGUCGGAUUAAGUUUUCACUAAGCUUUCACAUUCAUCACCCAAGAUGACCCUAAACCAUGGUGAUCUAUACUACUACCCUUCAUAGGAGUCUACUCAAUUACCACACCUAGGUAUUACCUAAACACUCUAUUAAGUCUUACUAAUAUACUCAAAACUCAAAAUGGCCAAGUAGGGUUCUACUAUCAAUAACACAUAACAAUAAUGUAGCCCAUUCAUACUAAAUACAACAUCAAAGUCUAGCAUAUCAAGUCACAAAAGACAAGUAAUACCGAAAUCUAAUAAAGCAUAAAACAACCACUAUGAGGAUCUUGGUUACCCUCUCUUCUCAUAGACUUUGCCUUUGGACAUUCCCUCAUUUUGUGACCACUUUCACCACAAUUAAAGCAAUCCUCUUUGCCAGCCAAACAUCUACCCUUAUGUCUCUUUCCACACCUAGCACAAGUGGGCCAUAGGGAUUCCCUACUAAUUCCUUGCGGUUUAGGGUUAGACACCCUAUCUUCAUUAUACUUAGGAGCCUUAGAGGAAUCUUGCCCGGAAAACCUUUGUCAAUUCCUAUGAUGACCAUGUCCAACAGACCUUACAUGGGAGGAGUUAUCAUCCUCCAUUCUAGACCUCUUUUUCUCCAUAGAUCUCCCUUUUUAUUUCUCCUCUUCAAUGUAAUAGCAAUAAGUCAUAAGGCGAGCAAUAUCCAUGUCACUAAUGAGUAGGGUUGUUCAUGGUUAUGGUUAAAAAACCAAACCUAACUCCAAUCCGAACCAAACCAAUUAAAAAAAUCAAUAUUUGGUUUGAUUUGGUUAGGUUUGGUUUUAAAAUUUUGAAAACUAAUACUAUUUGGUUUGGUUUGGUUUUGGUUUUACUAAAAAACAACUGCAAAAAUAACCAAACCGAAUCAAUAAAUUAGAUAUAUAAAUUUAUAAUUAUUUAUAUAUUAUUCAUAAAUAAAAUAUAACUAUUUGUUAAAUUUUAAGUAACUUAAGUCUUUAACUCUACCAUUUUCUCAAGCCCAACACCUAAAUUUUAGCCCAACAAUUACAACCCUAAGUCCAAGUCCAUCGAAAUUUAUUACCUAUCAUACCUUUCAUAAGAUAGUCACACUUUCUCUUAAUUGAAUAACUUUGUUCAUGAAAUGAUAACUCUAAUAUUGCUUAAUUGAACCAACAAUAACUUUUUUGUGAAUUGUUCAUGUACUAGGUGUUUUUUCUAUAAAGAUACGAAUGUUCUCAAAAAUUUAUUACUUUCAAACCAAAAAAAUUAGAAAAACUGAAACAAACCGAACCAAACCGUCAAUAACCAAACCGAUGGUUAUUUUUUUCGUUUGGUUUGGUUUUAGAAAUUUUAAAAACCAACUAGAUUGGUUUGGUUUUGGUUUUAAUCAAUAACCGAUCCAAACCGAACCACAAACACCCCUACCAAUGAGCAUAGCUGUACAACAUUCUUUCACCACUAAAUCGGAUACACCUGACAUAAACUUGUUCAUUAUUGUCCUAGGGUCGAACAGUAGAGAUGGAGCACACUUAGACAAUUGGGUGAACUUAAGGGCAUACUCCUUCACAUUUAUUCUUCCUUGACGAAAGUUAAGGAACUCAUGCACCUUGGCUUCCCUCAUCUCAAGGGGGAAGAAUCUAUCUAGAAACGCCAAUUUAAACACUUCCUACUCUAUGGGACUCGCUCCUACCGGCGUAGUCUCUUUCCAUUGAUUGUACCACUGUCACGCCCCAAGCCUGCACCCUGGACGUGGCCGGUACUCGAGAACUAUUGCUGGCUCCAAGCGAACCCUUGGCCUGGCUUACUUUCUCAGCGGAUGACUUUACUCAAGAUAAAUAUACUUUAAAAGAAUAAUUGAACUGCUCAAUAAAUAACUUAGAAUGUAAUAAAUAACAUUCACUGCCAAAGUGUCAACUCAAGUCUCAACUUAACUAAAAAGGAAUAAGACUCAUGAACUAACAUCAACUAACUCUGUCUAUGAAGCCUCUAAACAAUUGAGAUGGACGUCGGGACAAGACCCACAACAUCCUAAUGAACUAAAUACUAAAAGAAAGAAAAAGGAUCCUCUGAAAAGCUAGGAGGCUCACCAACUGACUCUGAGUGCUCAACUGGAUCAGCGAGGCGUUGGAUGCUGAUCCUGAUUACAUGUGUCUGCAUCAUAAGACAAUGUAGGCCAACUGGCAUUAGUACAUUGAAUGUACGAGUAUGCGAGGGGAAAUCUAAAACAAGACAUAAGCUUGAAAGGAACUGAAGGAACAUACCCGGGCUCAACUCAACUCAACUUAACUCAUUUCAAUAUAAAGAAAUAAUAUAAAUGCAAUAUAAAGAAAAGCUUUUAAAACAUGGAUAACAACUCUGUGUAUUUAAAAAUACAAUAGUAACUCUGAAUGUAUGCAAAAAUACAGUAUAAACUCUGAAUGUAUAUUAAAAUACAAUUUCCUCAAUGUAUAUAAAAAUACAAAAUACUGCUGUGGGAGUUUCUCUAACCGACAACCAUCACUUAAAAGCUAUGUGAUGAUACAACGUCUUACUUACGGUGCCAGAACUUUCCUAUACUUUGCCGUCAUAUAGAACGCCUUAACUAAGUGGAUCCACUAGUCUAUGCUAAAAAGCACUAAAGGAAUCAUCUAAAAAGUAUGACCCUUUGUACCCACGAUGGCUACAUGGUUUAUGGAGACGUGAGUUAUCUGAACUCAAACUCGUCCCCAUNNNNNNNNNNNNNNNNNNNNNNNNNNNNNNNNNNNNNNNNNNNNNNNNNNNNNNNNNNNNNNNNNNNNNNNNNNNNNNNNNNNNNNNNNNNNNNNNNNNNNNNNNNNNNNNNNNNNNNNNNNNNNNNNNNNNNNNNNNNNNNNNNNNNNNNNNNNNNNNNNNNNNNNNNNNNNNNNNNNNNNNNNNNNNNNNNNNNNNNNNNNNNNNNNNNNNNNNNNNNNNNNNNNNNNNNNCUCUUUAAAUGUGAAAACAUUUACUCUUUAACUAAAAACUAGUUCAAAGGCUUUUUUGGAAAUCAAGGUUUCCUUUCUUCUUUAAAUGUGAAAACAUUUACUCUUUAACUAAAAACUAGUUCAAAGGCUUUUUUGGAAAUCAAGGUUUCCUUUCUUCUUUAAAUGUGAAAACAUUUACUCUUUAACUAAAAACUAGUUCAAAGGCUUUUUUGGAAAUCAAGGUUUCCUUUCUUCUUUAAAUGUGAAAACAUUUACUCUUUAACUAAAAACUAGUUCAAAGGCUUUUUUGGAAAUCAAGGUUUCCUUUCUUCUUUAAAUGUGAAAACAUUUACUCUUUAACUAAAAACUAGUUCAAAGGCUUUUUUGGAAAUCAAGGUUUCCUUUCUUCUUUAAAUGUGAAAACAUUUACUCUUUAACUAAAAACUAGUUCAAAGGCUUUUUUGGAAAUCAAGGUUUCCUUUCUUCUUUAAAUGUGAAAACAUUUACUCUUUAACUAAAAACUAGUUCAAAGGCUUUUUUGGAAAUCAAGGUUUCCUUUCUUCUUUAAAUGUGAAAACAUUUUACUCUUAUCUUUUUAGGACGAAAUUACACUGAAUAAAACAUGUUUGGUGCAUGGUUGAAUGAACCUAAUGCUGUGUGAACUCACAUACCUCGUAGGGAUUAACCCUUGGCGAAAUCUACAAACAAUUCUCCAUGAAAUCGACGAAUCCUUGCUUCUUCUCCUCUUUUCUCCUCUUCUUUUCUCUUCUCUCAAAUCCCUAACUCUUUUUUGAAAGGGUAAACUGAUCUAAUUAUGUUUAGACCCCUAAGUAAUUACCAAAAAUGAAUUAAAUCAAUUGGGUAUGGAAAAGACCAAAAUACCCUUCUAAAAUCCGGUUUUGACUUUCCUUAUCUAGACAACCCAACUUCAAAUGGGCAUUUAUGCCUCAUACAAACUCGGAAUCGUGCAAACUUAGCGGCGUUGGAAAGAUAAUCCCAAGAUCUUUCCUACAGUAUCUGGAAGCACACUUAAAUAAUCCUGAUCUAGGAGUUAUGGUCAUUCGAAAUUGACCCAAAACUCAUUCUUAACUUAACUCUUGUCAAAUUUCCAGAUUUUUAUUAUUUCCAAAAAUCACUCUGUCUAAUUCUAGAUCUUUCUAGUUCUUUCAAUUAGCGAGAUGUUACAACCACACUUGAGCAAUAUCUUUCAAUUGGUAAGAGGCUAAUUUCGCUUUCUCUAUCGGAGUCACUCCCUUAAUAGCAAGUACCUUAUAGACAUCAUCUAUAAACUCUUGAGGAUCUUCCUCAACUUUGGAGCCAUAAAACUCCGGAGGAUUCAUCUUGAUAAAAUCCCUCAUUCUUGAAGCGGCCGUACCCAUAUUUGGGUUCACGGGGGCUACCACCUCUCUAUUGGCUUGCGCCGUCAUGGCUUGAGCCAACAGUUGAAAAGCCGACUUAAUCUCCACAUUUGUUAUAUUCUCCUCCAAAGGGUCACUCAGAGCUUGGGGAGAAACCUCUUGGUCCAGAUUGUCUUCCUCAUUCCUUCUAGCAUUUACCCUUGUGGUAGUCAUAUCCUAAAAACCAUAGGGCACAGAUUAGGAGAAAGACCUAAUAGAUUUAAAAUCUAUGGCAUGACUUAGAGAAUGAAGAAGUGAGAUUUCCUAAUCAUCUAAUAGCUUUCUAUUCAUAAAUUUGGCACACUUCACACUUAUGAACAAGACUUUACUAGAAAUGUUUUUGAGACAAUCCUAUAAUCCUUCUAAACCUUCUUCACUUAUUACCAAGUUUGUAACGACCCAGGGGUACCCCCUAGAUGAACAAGGCAUACUCAACCCCAAUGGGGUCUCAUACAAGCCCCUUAGCAUAUCAUAACAUAAAGCAAUAGAAAUGAUGCAGAAAUUUCAAAACAUUUUCCAUAAAAUCGAAGUCUUUAUAAAAGCAAGCGAAAGUCUUUAACACUUUGUCUCAAACCAUCUAAAAUAACUUGAAUAAAUCUUUGGGACGCAGUCCAUACAUAAGUUCUAACAUAAAAGAAAGACAAUAGAACAUGGUGGCCAUCUCCUAGAACUAGUGUAAAAGUAUCCCAUUUGGAAGCUGGACUCAACUAGGGUAGAAGCUUCCAUCUCACAUUCAAUAUCAUAUUCAUGCAUAAGUGUGUAUGUGAGAAUAUCCUUUCAACAACACAUAAGUAGAUCAUCAUAAUCAUAGACACUUCACUCUCAAAGUGUUCAUAAAGCAUUUACAUUGAUUCUAUAAGAACAUGCAUAAUCUCAUAUACUCAUAUUAUAAGUCAUGUGGGUAAAUUCCUUCCACAAUAAUGCCAUAUAUAAUUCAACAUACAUAUUAGCUUCACUCUCAAAGCCCUAGAAGUCAACUUUCAUAACUACAAGCCUUACUCUCAAGAAAUACUUCUCAUGAUCAUUCUAUAUGUCUAAUUCUCAAGACAUUCUAACCACAUGCUUCAUUCUUUAGUAAUUCUAAUCAUAUAUCUUCAUAUAAGCAUAAACUCAAGCAUUACUAAUCAUGAUUCAUCAUAUAAGCCGUAAUCUAAUCAAUUCAUAUCUAUAAGUUUUACUCUUAAGAAAUUCAUGUCUAGGUGUUCUAAUCUCAAGCAAUCUAUAAUGUAAUUCAUCAAUCUUAGAAGAUCACAGCUAAGCCCUCAAUUUCCCCUUUUAUGGCAUAAAACUCAACUAUAUCAAAUUCACCUUGGAAUCUUAGGUUAAUAAAAAAUACAUGUAUAAUCAUACUAAAAACAUGCAUUUCCAUCAUAAACAAUCAUAAACCACUCUAUUGGAUCAUAAUCAACAUAACCCACAAUAUUGGAAGGAACCCUAACUUGAAUUAGGGCUUUCAUCUUCACAAUUGGGGGAAUUCUAAGGGACUCCAUGGAUGAAUAAGCUACCAUUCCUUGAUUACAAAGCCCUCAAAUCUUGGAACAAUGGAGACUUGACUUGACCUAGCUUGGUCAUCUUCUUCUUCUUCUUCACUUUCUAGAGAGAGAAUAUUUGAGACGGAAUUGGGUUCUUUUUUAUGAGUUGAAAUAAUGACUAGGAUCAAUGAAUUUAUAGGUUUAUAGUCUUUAUAUAGGUGGUCUAAACUAGGGUAAAACGACACCACUUAAUUGCUAAUUAAUUCCCAAAAGUUCCAUUAAGUCCUCACUUAACCAUUUAAAACAAGUCACUGCCACACUCACGAGACCCUGACCACGGGGUGUGGGUCUAACCAUGGCCCAUCCUGGUUGGGCGUGGUUUGGGAUCUGUGGCACUGUCUUGGGGGCUCUUGACCUACGGAGCCAACCAUGUGGCGUGGACCCAUCCACGAGGCGUGGGUCCUGUCCGUGGUUACUGCCUUAGGCAUAUUUCAUGGAGGUCUCACGCAUGUUGCGCACCUAAAGGGUGUGGGUGGCCUCAUGGGUGGCACCUAAACUCCCAAAUAAUGUUAACUCCCACUCAAGGCUACGAGGUGUUACAUAUUUGGUUGAAGUGAUAUGUUCCUUUGUACUACCCUUAGACACAUUUCUCUUUCUUUUUCUAUCCUUCUUAGGUUCAAUAGUAUCAUCAAUAAUAACUAUAGGUUCGAAGGAGGAACAAACUUACUUUUCACUACACGUGAUUUCUUGGUGGUCUUAGUAAAAAGUACUUCAUCCAGAGUACGUUGCACCGACCGAGUAACUCGAACCGGAAUCGCCACUGAUGGUUCAAAAAUGGGAUCUUCUUGAGGCUUAUCAACAGAAGUAGCGAUGGGUUUACUAGAGGCUAGACGAAGUCGUGAAUGAAGUCAUUUAGGAAUCAAUUUUACCAACGGAGUAUCGUCUUCAUCAAUAUACGAGGUAUAAGUCUAUUUCUUUGAUGAUUUUUGUUCCCCUGAUAACAAGUAGUCGUAUUAUCACUGAAAUCAGACCCCAAUCUUUGGUUUCGUACUUCUCCCUGAAUUACUUGAUCCAUGAGAGGACAUGCAAAAUGUGAUCUUCCGAAAGGGUCAAUGAACAUUACAUCGGAUGAGACAAAUAGGUUUUCUUAAUUCUCGAAGGGUAUGAGGGCAAGGUUGAGGUUUUUGGACGGUGAGGACAUGAUUUGGGAAUGGAUUAUAGAAAUUAGGAAGGGAGAGUGAGAAUGGAGAAUGGAGGUUUUGUGAAGGAUGAAUAAAAGUGAGAUGUAACUGAUAAUGGGAAGUGGAAAGGUUUUUAGAGAAGAGAGAGAGAGAGAGAUUGAUUUGAUGGAUUUGAUGAGUUUUUGAUUGAAUUUUUGGCGGUUUAAAUCAUAUUUUCUGACAGAGUAAUUUAAUGAGGGAACGGGUAGAGUGCAUAAGUCACAUUAUUUUGUUCAUCUUUAGUACGUAUUGUGUACAUACCUUUAUUUGUAGAGAUGAUGGCCUUCGAAGUCCUAAUCCCUUGAUUUUCUAAUUACCUGAGAAUAGUAGUUCCUUUAGUUACAGUUCAUUAUGAAUUAUUAAGACUUAAAAUAGCAUGUAAUCGAAGACCAUAGUUUACUGAGUAAACAUAGAUACUUAGGCUAUUUUUAUCAUCCCUAAUUCCAACUUGUUCCUUUCAAAGUGUUCCCUUGCUAAUGCCUUGGUGAACAUAUCAGCAAUUUGUUCUUCUGUGGUACAAAAAUUCAUAGAUAUCAAUCCUUUGUCAACAUUAUUCCUUAGAAAGUGAUGUCUCAUAUCGAUGUGUUUGGUUCUCUUGUGCUGAACUGGAUAUUUUGAGAUGUUGAUGGCACUUGUGUUGUCACAAAAAAUUGGAACACAGUUUGUAGACCAAAGUCUUGUAACAGUUGUUUGAUCCAUAGUAGUUGUGCACAAGAUGAAGCAGUGGCUACAUAUUUAGCUUCGGCAGUAGACGGGGCAACCGAAUUUGUUUCUUUGAACCCCAAGAGAUUAAACAAGAUCCCAAAAAGUGAGUCAUACCUGUAGUGCAUUUUCUAUCUGCUAGAUAACCAGCGUAGUCCACAUCAACAUACCGUACCCUACAAGUUUGAAAUUACUUCCCCUUGGAUAUCAAAGUCCUAAGUCUGUGGUACCCUUUAGAUAUCAUAGAAUUCUUUUGACAACUUGUAGAUGUGAUUCCUUUGGAUUGGCUUGAAAUCGAGCGCAUAGCCCUACGCUAAACACAAUAUCGGGGCUUCUGGCUAUAAGGUACAUAAGUGAACCUAUCAUUCCUCUAUACAUUUUUUGUUCUACAGUUGGACCUGUUCCUUCUAGGUCUAACUUAGUGGCAGUGGCUAUUAGGGUAGUGAUCUGUUUAGCAUCUUCCAUUUUAAAUCUUUUGAGUAGUUCUUUAACGUACUUCUGCUAAUGGAUCAUUGUUCCCACAUGUGUUUUCUUGAUCCGCAGUCCCAAGAAGUAGUUCAGUUCUCCGAUCAUGCUCAUUUUAAAUUCAUUGCUCAUGAGAGUUGAGAAUUCAUCAGUGAGUGUUUUCGUUGUGGCUCCAAAAAUAAUGUUAUCAACAUAUACUUUUACAAUAAGCAAGUCUUUUCCUUUAUUUUUAAUGAAGAGUGUAUUGUCGAUUUUUCCUCUUGUGUAUCCAUGUUUUAAGAGAAACUUUGACAAUCUAUCAUAUCAUGCCCUUGGAGCUUGUUUCAACCCAUAAAGAGCUUUGUCAAGCUUAUAGACAUAGUCAGGAUGAUCAUUGUUCUCAAAUCCAGGAGGUUGUUUUACAAAUACUUCUUCUUUUAGUAGCCCAUUGAGAAAAACACUAUUUACAUCCAUUUGGUAUAAUGUAAAUUCCAUGUAGGCAGCAAAGUCAAUGAGUAAUCUGAUUGCUUCAAGCCUAGCUACUAGAGCAAAGGUUUCAUCAUAAUCUAUGUCUUCUUCUUGAUUGUACCCUUGAGAAACUAACCUUGCUUUAUUUCUUGUUAUGGUUCCAUGUUCGUCUAAUUUGUUCCUGAACACCCAUUUAGUUCCAAUGAUAGUUCUGUUCUCAGGCUUUGGCACAAGAUGUCAGACUCUACUUCUUUUGAAUUGGUUCAGUUCUUCCUCUAUCACUAUGAUCCAGUCUGCAUCUUGAAGGGCCUCGCUGAUUCUUUUAGGUUCGACCAUAGAGAAGAAUGCACUGAAGGCAUAAUGAUUUUUUAGUCCUGAUCUAGUGGUUAUUCUAGAAGAGAGGUCAGUGAGUAUGUUGUCCACGGGAUGUGAUCCUUGGUAUUUGUAGUCUUUUAGUACCAGAUCCUGUUGUUCUGCAUUUGGACUAUUAUUUAGUUUCCUUUGGUCAUCUUCUAGUGUUUCUUCUCUGUUUCCAUUAUGAUUAUCAUGUGAGUCUGCACUGUCUUCAUUAAUUGUAUCCAAAGGACCUGUUUCUUGUACCUGUUCCUGUACAACUUCGCUGUAUACCUUUGAUGGUACUUUAUUUUCCUGCAAGUUUUGGUUAGACAUAGUAUUGCUUUCAUCAAAUACAAUGUGCACACUCUCUUCCACACACAUUGUUCGUAUGUUGAGUACCCUACAGGCUUUACUAUGCGUGGAGUACCCUAGAACGAUUCCUUCAUCACUUCUCGCAUCAAAUUUACCCAACAAAUUUUUUCCAUUGUUGUGGAUGAAACACUUAACCCAAAUACUCUUAGAUGAAAGAUAUUGGGUUUUCUUCCUUUUAGUAAUUCAUAGGGAGUUUUAUCUAACAUUGGUCUGGACAUACAUAUAUUGAUGAUAUAGCAGGCAGUAUUUAUAGCUUCAGCCCAAAAUUGAUUGGUGAUUUUAUUUGCAAUCAUCAUAGUUCUAGCCAUUUCUUGUAAGGUUCUAUUUUUUCUUUCAACAACACCAUUUUGUUGAGGGGUUCUAAGAGUAAAGAAAUUACGGUCAACUCCAUAGAGAUCACAAUAUUAAGCAAAUUUUGAGUAUCCAAAUUUGGUUCCAUGAUCAGAUCUGAUAUACAUUAAUUGUUUAUCAAAUUUCUUUUGAAGUUUUCUUAUUAGUGAGUAGAAUGCUUCACAUGCAUCAUCUUUCGAUGUUAGGAAGAGUGUCCAGGUAAACCUAGUAUAGUCAUCAACUAAUACAAAUAUAUACCUUUUCCCUCCCCUGCUUUUGACUCUCAUGGGUCCACAUAGAUCCAUGUGUAUUAGUUCCAAGGACCUGGUUGAGCUUAUCACCUGCUUUGAGUUAAAGGAUGAUUUUAUUUGUUUCCGUAGAGUGCAGGCCUCACACAUCUUUUCUUCUUUGAACUUAGUUUUAGGAAGACCUAUUACUAAGUCCUUAGAGAUGAGUUUAUUGAGUUGUACCUGGCUUGCAUGACCUAGUCGGUUAUGCCAAAGUAGAAGAUCUUUAUCCAACACACUUAGACAUACUAGAUUCUCAUCAGAUAUUUUUAGAAGUGUCUACAGUGUAAACAUGUUUGUACUUUUUUCCCGUUAGGACAACUUUCUUUGUUUCUAGAUUGAUUACUUCAACACCAGUAGAUAGAAAAAUUACCUUGUUUCCUUUGUCACACAGUUGGGAUAUACUUAGCAUAAUGUGUUUCAGUCCUUCCACAUGGUACACCUCGUCAAUUGAUUGUUCAUCAGAUCUUCCUAUCUUGCCAACACCUUUGAUUUGCCCUUUUUUCCGCUACCAAAAGCUACCAUUCCACCUUUUCCUUCUUUGAGUGAGAGAAACUUUGUUUUAUCUCCAGUCAUGUGUCUUGAGCAAGCGCUAUCCAUAUACCAGUGUUGCUUGCUUUCUCUCACUUCUACCUAAAAAAUAUUAAAGGUUAGUUUUAGGAACCCAUAUCAACUUGGGUCCUUUAUUUUUAUCAAAAGGGUGAAUAAGAUCUCUGUUUAUUCAGUUGGGAAGACCUGUUUUGUUUAGAAGGUGCCUAUUUCUUAGGUGUGUAUAAAUUCUAGUUCUUUGGCAAUUAAAUUUGGAAUGACCAAUCUUACCACAGAGACUACAAAAUUAAGUAAUGUCACUUUUGGUUUGUUCAAAAUCUAUUUCAGGUCUUAUAUUUCGGGUGUUGUUUCCAAGAUGUGUGACUAUCAUGGAUGACCUUGUCCAUGCAAUCUUUCAAGAUCAUAUUUAGUCCUGGAUAAUUCAAGAUUCAUCCUCCUAGAGUUUUCUCUUUCUAAGCUUAAGUCAUUUUUGAGUUUAUUCACCUCAUGUUCAUACUUGGGUUGAUCACAUGCUUUUUCUUUACCAAUAACCUUUAAUUUUAUAUUUUCAGUUUUUAAUGCUAGAUUGAAGGAUUCAAGUUUCUUAUUUUUCAUUAACCACAGCUUGGUUUUCUCUUAUAGUUCAGUGUUGAGUUUUUCGAGAUUGAUAUACUCAAACUUUAAACUAGUCAUGGAGGCAAGCAACUGAUUCUUGUUUCUGAUUUGUUCUUGUAUUGUGUCCAUAAGUGUUCGCAUUAACAAUGAUAAUUUUUUCUUAGAGAAGGAUUCUAAUUUGUCUUUGAGAUCAGAUAUGUUUUCCUUUUUUUCUUCAGAGUCUGAAUCAGGUUCACAAUCUGACUCUUCCAUGGCCAUUAAGGCAAUGUCAUCAUCAUCUUCUUCAUAGUCAUUUGAACUUGUUCCCCAGGAAGCGUACAUAGCUUGUUCCUUUUCUUUGGUCUUUCUCUUGUUUGCAGGUUCCCUUUUAUCCUUUUCAUCUCUUUCUUUUCUCCAUUCUACUUUCCGCAUAGGACAGUCCUUGAUUUGAUUAUUAGUUUUACCACCCUUGUAACAUCCACCAGUUUGAGCUUUUUCCGUGUUUUUCUCCUUGUUUGGUGGUGCCUUUUUUCCAGAAUUCAUUCCCCUUUUGAAAAAUCUCUUAAAGUUUCUAGUGAUUAGUGCUAGCUCAUCAUCAUCUAAAUCUAAUUCAUCACUUUCAGUUGCUUUGAGACCGAGAUUCUUCUCCUUGUUUCCUUCACUUCCCUUACAACGUGCAUCUCAUAAGUUUUGAGAUUUCCUACCAGUUCAUCUAGAGUCAUGCUUGUUAGAUCCUUGACUUCUCUAAUAGCAGUGACUUUGAUUUCCCAUGAUCUAGGUAGAGUUCUUAGUACUUUAUCUACCUGUUCCUCAGUAGUGUAUAUCUUUCCUAAGGAAAUUAACUCAUUCACUACUGUGGUGAAUCUGGUGAUUAUAUCUUGAAGUGAUUCUCCAUUCUUCAUCUUAAAUGCUUCAUAUUCAGAGCAAAGUCGGGCAAUUCUGAAUUUUCUGACUUGAGUUGUACCUUCAUGAGCAUUUAAGAGAGUGUCCCAAAUUUGUUUUGCAAAAGUAUAACUUGAGAUGCGAUUAAAUUCAUAAAGACCAAGUCCACAUACAAGAAUGCGCUUAGCUUUUGCAUUUUUUCCUAACAUCUUGUAGUCAGCGUUUCCGUAUUGUUCCUUAGGUUUUGGAACAUUGUUCCUUCACUGUCUUUGAUGGUUGGAGUUAGAGGUCCAUCAGUAAUUCUUACCCAUAGUUCAUAAUCCUCAGCUUGAAUGAAGUCCUCCAUUCAAGCUUUCCACCAUGAGUAGUAUUGACUAUUGAAGAGUGGUGGUAUGUUGAUGUUUUGACCUUGACCAUGCCCAAUAGGAGGUGCAGAAUUCAUUGUGAUAUUAUCUUGAGUUAUUAGACUCUUGUUAAGAUACUUUCGUUCUGAUACCAAUUGUUGGAAUUAUGGCCUCCUUAAUUCAGUAAAGGAACACGUUGGCCCACCUAUUAGGGGGUAGUACUACACACCAUUGUAUUACACGUGUUAAGAAAAUAUACUACUCAAAAUGAUUAGUUUUGCACCCAUUCAGUCAUGAAUUAGAUUUUUCUUUUUAGCAAUUGAAAUAAGAAAUUGUCUUCUAAUUAAAUUUGUAAAUAUGCAGUGCUAGUAGCUAGACAGAAGCUCAGAACGACAAUUUAAAAAUACCCACACAAGCUCAGUGUGAUAAUAAAAAAUGUCCAAGAAUCAAACCCAACGGAACUGAAUUAGAAAAAUAAAAAAAUCCAAUAAUCGAAUACCUAAUGUAGCAGUAGCACGUUUUUUGUUGCUUGCUGGUAUUAUAAGAUGCAGAAGCAAACACACCACUACUCCACCAACUAAGAUGGAUCCAUUACCUCAUGUUAUCAUCUUCCCUUUCCCUGCACAAGGCCAUGUCAACUCCAUGCUUAAAUUGGCUCAGCUUCUUUCUCUUUCUAACUUCGACGUUACCUUUCUUGUCACUGUCGAUACACAUGACCGCGUCGUCAACCACAUAGAUGUGCUCUCCAGAUUUGGUAGUGUAUUCCAUUUGCAAGCUCUUCCCCAUGGAAUUUCCAUGGAUGGAGUGAAUACUCGUGAUGGAAUAUCAAUGCUCUAUUAUUCUCUAAACACAAUUGCUAAACCAUUUCUUAGAGAAUUCAUACCGAAUUCUUCGGUGACAUGUCUCAUCGUCGACGGAAUCUUAAGCAUGGCCGCUGAUGUAGCCGAAGAAAUCAACUUGCCUAUUAUCUAUUUUCGUACCGUCAGUGCCUCUUCUUUCUGGUCCUACUUUUGCAUCCCUGAGCUAAUUCAAGCUGGAGAACUUCCCCUCAAAGGUAAACAUACAAUACAAUAUUUUUUUGUUUUACAACUUCUUAAUUCUAACUUUUCACCUGACAUAUUUAAACACAUAACAUUAAAAGAAAUUUUGCCUCUCAAGUAAUGUUAGAUUACAUGAAUAACAGAAAAUGCAAAGGACUUGACAUUGACGAAGGUAAAAGGCAUGGAAGAUUUUCUGAGAGGUCGAGACCUUCCAAGCUUUUGUCAGGCGAGUGACUUAACUAACCCGGAUUUCAGGAUUGUAAUGACAGAGACACGACAAACCCCUCGAGCGCAAGGUCUCAUACUUAACACGUUUGAAGAUCUUGAAAGGCCCCAUACUUUCUCAAAUUCGAACGGUAUGUCCAAAUGUUUAUACAAUUGGAGCAGUUCAUGCCCAUCUAAAGGCUAAACUUGCAACAAAAUCUACCUCUUCAAACAAUUUGUGGCAAGAAGAUGAAAGAUGCAUGUCUUGGCUUGACACGCAGCCACCAAAAUCUAUGAUAUAUGUUAGUUUUGGAAGCGUCGCGGGGUUGACAAAGGAGGAGUUGUUAGAAUUUUGGUAUGGUCUAGUGAAUAGUGAGCAAAAGUUCUUGUGGGUGAUGAGGCCAGACUUGAUAAUAGGACAAGAGAGAAAGGAUGAGAUUUCUGUGGAGUUGGAGCAGGGUACAAAGGCAAGGGGCUACAUGGCUGAUUGGGUUCCACAAGAAAAGGUAUUGG
This 20867-nucleotide long non-coding RNA is filed under the name Solanum tuberosum (potato). RNAcentral's name for it is "long non-coding RNA (STUB_LNC003731)". Lineage: Eukaryota; Viridiplantae; Streptophyta; Magnoliopsida; Solanales; Solanaceae. The record is from RNAcentral.